This 1931-nucleotide ribosomal RNA is filed under the name termite gut metagenome. Its description in RNAcentral is "bacterial LSU rRNA". It matches the Rfam family "Bacterial large subunit ribosomal RNA", at positions 1 to 2010 of the family's 2925-position model. The record is from RNAcentral.
UCAAGAGAGAGAAGGGUUUAAGGUGGAUGCCUUGGCGUAUCAAGGCGAAGAAGGCCGUGGCAAGCUGCGAAAAGCGACGGGGAGUAGCAAACAUACAGAGAACCGUUGAUAGCCGAAUGGGGUAACCCAACAGGUGAGAGCCUGUUAUCCGUAGUUGAAUAAAUAGGUUACGGAAGCGAAACUGGGGGAAGUGAACCAUCUAAGUACCCCGGGAAGAGAAAUCAAAAGAGAUUCCGGAAGUAGCGGCGAGCGAAACCGGAAGAGCCCAAACCGCUUAAAAAGCGGGGUUGAAGGACCGCGACAUCUUGGCAGUCAUGAUAGGAGAACGGCUUGGGAAAGCCGGCGAGAGAGGGUGAAAGCCCCGUAUCCGAAAUUAUGGCUGUUAGGUAGCGGGAUCCUGAGUACGGCGGGGCACGAGGAACCCCGCCGGAAGCCGGGUCGACCACGAUCCAAGGCUAAAUACUAGAUACGACCGAUAGCGCAGAAGUACCGUGAGGGAAAGGCGAAAAGCCAGCGAGGGGAGUGAAAAAGAACCUGAAACCGUAAACCCACAACAGGUCAGAGCCCGGUAUAGAGCCGGGUGAUGGCGUGCCUUUUGGGCUUGGAAGAGCCGGAGCCGAAGGGAAACCGAGUCUGAAUAGGGCGUUUAGUUGUAUGUCGUAGACCCGAAGCCAAGUGAUCUUGUUAUGUGCAGGUUGAAGGCAGGGUAAAACCUGUUGGAGGACCGAACACAAAUCUGUUUAAAAAGGUUGUGAUGACAUGUGACAAGGAGCGAAAGACUAAACAAACUUGGAAAUAGCUGGUUCUCCCCGAAAUGCCUUGAGGGACACUAGGGGGCUUCACCGCCUACCAAACCCAAUCAAACUCCGAAUGGCGUAAGGCAACUGAUGGGAGUGAGACUGCGGGCGACAAGGUUCGUAGUCGAGAGGGAAACAGCCCAGACCGUCGGCUAAGGUCCCAAAUAGUAUGCUAAGUGUUAAAUGAUGUGCCGUGGCGCAGACAGCCAGGAUGUUGGCUUAGAAGCAGCCACUCAUUUAAAGAGUGCGUAAUAGCUCACUGGUCGAGUCACGACGCGCAGACAAUGUAACGGGGCUUAAGCAUACAACCGAAGCCGCGGGAUCAUGCAGUAAUGUAUGGUCGGUAGGGGAGCAUUCCACGAACCGAAGAAGGCAACUUGGGAAAGUUGCUGGAGGGGGUGGAAGAGAGAAUGCAGGUAUAAGUACACGAAAAGACGGGUGAGAUUCCCGUCCGCCGAAAGCCUAAGGAUUCCUGGGUAAAGGUCAUCUGCCCAGGGUAAGUCGGCCCCUAAGACGAGGGCGAAAGCCGUAGUCGAUGGGAAACUGGUUCAGAUUCCAGUACCAUUCAUGGUUUUAUGGGAUGACGCGUGAGGUGAAACCCGGCCGGGCGACGGUUGCCCCGGUCGAAGCAGUAAGUUAAUGGGGGCGGAGAAAACGCCUUUAGACAAGCUGCGACAGCGAGCUGUAUUACGGUACAGCGAAGCGGGUGUAAUCAAGGCGCCAAGAAAUAAUCCCCACUAGACAGGCCGUGAAGACCGUACCGCAAACCGACACAGGUAGGCGGGAUGAGAAAUCUAAGGCGCUCGAGAGAACUCGCGUUAAGGAACUCGGCAAAAUACGCACGUAACUUCGGGAGAAGUGCGACCACCGGCAGUUUUAGCAAUAGAGUUGUUGGUGGUGUCACAAAGCAGUCCCAGGCGACUGUUUAUCAAAAACACAGGCCUCUGCGAACCAGCAAUGGGAAGUAUAGGGGCUGACACCUGCCCGGUGCCGGAAGGUUAAGAGGAGCGGUUAGUCGCAAGAUGAAGCUGUGAAUCGAAGCCCCGGUAAACGGCGGCCGUAACUAUAACGGUCCUAAGGUAGCGAAAUUCCUUGUCGGGUAAGUUCCGACCCGCACGAAAGGUGUAACGAUCU